RNAcentral lists this ribosomal RNA (253 nucleotides) under uncultured bacterium. Its description in RNAcentral is "partial 16S ribosomal RNA". It matches the Rfam family "Bacterial small subunit ribosomal RNA", at positions 524 to 776 of the family's 1533-position model. The record is from RNAcentral.
UACGAACCGUACAAACGUUAUUCGGAAUCACUGGGCUUAAAGGGUGCGUAGGCGGCCAUGUAAGUGAGGUGUGAAAUCCCUCGGCUCAACCGAGGAACUGCGCUUCAUACUGCAUGGCUUGAGGGAGACAGGGGUAAGCGGAACUGAUGGUGGAGCGGUGAAAUGCGUUGAUAUCAUCAGGAACACCGGUGGCGAAAGCGGCUUACUGGGUCUCUUCUGACGCUGAGGUACGGAAGCUAAGGUAGCGAACGGG